Molecule: ribosomal RNA, 159 nt
Filed under: Leuroglossus schmidti (northern smooth-tongue)
Lineage: Eukaryota; Metazoa; Chordata; Actinopteri; Argentiniformes; Bathylagidae
Description: partial 16S ribosomal RNA
Source: RNAcentral
CAGUACUCCCUCGCCAACAUGUCUUCGGUUGGGGCGACCGCGGGGGAAAACCAAGCCCCCAUGUGGACUGGAAAAACCUUUUUCCACAGCCAAGAGUUACAACUCUAAGCAACAGAAUUUCUGACCAAAACGAUCCGGCAAACGCCGAUCAACGGACCA